GUCUUUAAGAUUAAUUUUUAAAGUCCAAUCUGCCCACUGAUUAUUUGAAGGGCUGCAGUAUAAUGACUGUACAAAGGUAGCAUAAUCAAUAGUUUCUUAAUUGGAAACUGGAAUGAAUGAUUAGACGAGAAAUGGUCUUUCUUUAUAAUAAUACAUUGAAUUUAAAAUUUAAGUGAAAAUGCUUAAAUUGUUUUAAAAGACGAGAAGACCCUAUAGAUUUUUAUUUUUUGAAAAGAAUUUUUUUUUGAAGAAAAAUUUAAUUGGGGCGAUUUUGUAAUAUAAAAAUCUUAAUAUUAAAUUAACCAUAAAUAAUUGAAUUUUUUGAUCCAAAAAUUUUGAUAAAUAGAUUAAAUUACCUUAGGGAUAACAGCGUAAUUUUAUUUAAGAGUUCAUAUCUAUAAUAAAGAUUGCGACCUCGAUGUUGAAUUAAGAGCUUCAUUGGAGUAGAAAUUAAUGUUAAGUAGUCUGUUCGACUAUUAAAUUCU
This 485-nucleotide ribosomal RNA is filed under the name Lachesilla forcepeta. RNAcentral describes it as "partial 16S ribosomal RNA". It matches the Rfam family "Bacterial large subunit ribosomal RNA", at positions 1830 to 2596 of the family's 2925-position model. Lineage: Eukaryota; Metazoa; Arthropoda; Insecta; Psocodea; Lachesillidae. The record is from RNAcentral.